RNAcentral lists this long non-coding RNA (203 nucleotides) under Elaeis guineensis (African oil palm). RNAcentral describes it as "long non-coding RNA (EGUI_LNC076828)". Lineage: Eukaryota; Viridiplantae; Streptophyta; Magnoliopsida; Arecales; Arecaceae. The record is from RNAcentral.
GGAGUUAUAGUAGCGGGCUGCUUUCUGCUUGUAGGCUGCCAUCCGAACUUGAGGUGUCUCCCACUUUUCUUCUAACAGGUCGAGGUUGGCCUUGAGAUCCUAUGAGUUGUGCUGCUCGUCGAAUACCACAACUCACGCCGACGGAAGCUUGAGUUUGAUUAGGAUCAUGACUUCUCUUUUGAAGGCUAAGGCAAAGGGGGUCU